Long non-coding RNA from Patella vulgata (common limpet), 7524 nucleotides. RefSeq lists it as uncharacterized. Lineage: Eukaryota; Metazoa; Mollusca; Gastropoda; Patellidae. The transcript has 2 exons. The record is from RefSeq and is a predicted model, not a curated record.
GUGACUUGACCCUUGAUUAGAAAUCGUCUGCUCUAAAGACUUAAUCGUAACAGACGUCGUAUGUUGUUUUGACGGCUGAUGGUCAAGGAUUGUUGGUAAACAAGAAAGAUUUCAUGGAUUGAUGUGGUUAAUUCUGAAUAAUUUAUUGAACAAAAUAUACAACAAAUCGUAGCCUACUGAAGUUUACGUACAUGCCUAUCCGUCUGCUUCCUCCAUAAGAUUGACAGCACUUUUUUUUAUAUUGAAACAUAUUUCUUUGAAAGCAACUUUAUUUUCUAGGAUAUUAAGACUAGCUUUAUUAUUCAGAAAUCUGGAAUGAAACAACCUAUUCUGGUUUUCUUUUUUGGUUUUUAGUUUGUUUCGUAUAAAGAAAUUUUAGGAGAAUUCUACAAAAUGCAUACGACCUAUUUAAUCUAAUAUAAACAGUAUUGUUAUUGAAAAUUUGUUUAUAGGAUUUAUAUGUCACGGUGUUUGAUGUUGUCAAAAACUGUCUACUUUGUAGAAAUUACAUGAGCAACACAGAAUGGAAAAAUAGUUUGUUAUGACCUUAAAAUGGUAAACACGACUGAAAUGCCACAAGAAUGGAAACAUACAUGAAGGACAUCUCGCGAGCAGAUAUUUCUAUUGCAGGGUCACAUAGGUUAAAACAAAAUGUUACCAACAAAAUAUAUCAUUUUAUAAUUGAAAUCAUACUCAUUAACAUUUUACUUUUAUUGUUUUUAAGAAGUACACACAGAAUCCGCUGUCCUGCAUCACCGUAUAGUCUAUUCCUGUAGCAAUGGUAAAUAAGCAUUACGAGCUUCUGGUAAUCCUCGUAACCACUGCUUUAGGAAUGUGCGUCUAGUCGUCAACAAAAAUUAAACUUAGUAAUAGACAGUUUAUGGAUAACAUUCACAAGGUUUAUUAACUGCAGCGUUUCGGUGAGGGUACUCUCACCGUGUCGAUGAGGGUCCUCUCACCGUUUGAAGGUACACUCACCGUUAUCAAGCUUGAUAAUGGGGAAAGUAUGCUCUAUCCUCAUUGAAACAUUGCAGUUAAUAAACCUAGUGAGUGUUAUCCAUAAAGCUGUCUGUUAUUAUAUAUCGCAAAUUCGCAUUCACUAAAUGCCCCUGAAAGAUAAAAGGAUUAAAGUUGUGCUAAAUAAAAGCAUACAGAUAUUAUCUCCACAGUAAAACCAUUCAGGCCAUUUUUGUAAAUUAAAGCAGUGUGAAAUAUGUAGGCGUAAUUGCUUUGCCUGGCAUAUUGCAAAUGGGUUAGAUUAAAGAUCCAAUAUAUGGUGGGGAAUAUUAAAUAACAGUUAGUUACUAAUUUAAGAACAAUGUUAGUUGGGGGUAAACGCUAAAUUAUAUGAAACAUACAAAUUAUGUUUGUUUUGCUAGGACAGCGGAGUCGUGCCUGCUCUUUCAGCUAAUCGGUUUUCUUUGUCACUUCCAUAGACGCUGUUCCAAGUCAUCUAGGGACGUCUUUGUCGUAUUUGAACCGGGAAAAAUAUCAAAUCCCGUAAAUUAUCACGCAUUUUUUUUAGUGAAUUUAUGUAUCUUUUCAUUGUGUAAAUUAUAAAUUUUGCUAAUCGGUUAUUUGUUGCCUGUCCAGUCUUGCUUGUGAAUUGAACCAGAUUGACCUCUAUUUUUGAAUAAAUGAAAGAAUUUAAUCGAUGUCAAUUUCACUGAUGAAUUUUUCUUAAUUAGAUUUUUUUUAAAUAUUGAUUAGUUUCUGUAUAGUACCCAUCGUUACUGGUCAGAAGCUUUUAAUUUUAUACAUUAUACAUUCGAAGAAAGCAGGGGACUAUUAAAAUGGGUCUGCCUGUCUGUAUUUAUGUCCGUAACACUUUUUGGGACACAAUAACUUUCCUUCUAAUUGAGCUAGAGUGUUCAAACUUGGUGUAGGUGUUUAUGAGGUGGAUGCCUUGAUGGAGUUCGAAGGUGAACUUUUUCUGCUUAUGGUAAGUAGAGAUAAGCAAUUUUAUUUGUUGAUGCUCUGGGAUGCGAUAACUUUAGUUCUAAUUAAGUUAAGUGAUGAAACAUGAUGUAUAGUUUCAUUAAAUCAGUGGUUCUCAACAUUUUUUAGCCAACGGCACACCUUGGAACACAUGAAGAUAUAGCGGCACACCUGGCUAAAUAUAUAUGAAAAGUAUUUGAAUUUUGCAAAAAAAACAAACAUGGCAACUCAUAGACGGCAUACAGUCUUAGACAAAGACUAGUCAUAGGCACGUAGAAUGACUUAAACUAAAUAAAGAAAAACACAGCUAUAAACUUACUUUAUUGCAGUGUUUCGCAUUUCAUCAGUCAAAUAGCUGGCUUCUUUAGUGAGAAAUUUUCUUAGUGUGCCGUUCAAAAUUUCGCGGCACACUUAGGAAGAUCUCGCGGCACACCCGUGUUCCGGGGCACACUGGUUGAGAACCACUGCAUUACAUCAAUACCUUGACUAAGUUCGAUAAUGAGCAUUUUCCGCUAAGUACCUAUAAGCAAUUUGAUUGGUCAAGACUUUGAAACAUAACAACCCCGUUUUUAUACGCCCACAUUUUCAUGUGGACGUAUAUUGUCGUCGCCCCUGUCCGUCCGGACGUCCGUCCACAAUUGUUUGUGAACAAUCUACAGGUCACAAUUUUUAUCCGAUUUCAAUGAAACUUAAAAUAUAGGUUUAUCACCCUAAGAUCUCGGUUCCUUUCGAUAUUGGCAUGUAUCGGACUGUAACUUCAUGGAUUAUGGCCCCUGAUUGUACGAAAAAUCACGUUUUUAGCUAGAGGUCACAAUUUUUAUCCGAUUUAUUUUAAACUUGAAAUGUAUGAUUAUAACCCAAAGAUCUCGGUUCCUUUCGAUAUUCGCGCAUAUCUGAACAUAACUUCCUGAAUUAUGGCCCCUGGUUGUACGAAAAAUCGCGUUUUUAGCUUGUGGACCCUAUAGAGGUCAUAAUUUUUAUCCGAUUUAAAAAAACAUAUUAUUAUAUCACCGUUAAACCCUAAGGACGGUUGAGUUCGAAUUUCGUGAAAAUCGGCCCAAAACUGACAGACAAAAUGGCCGCCGUUCGUUCUCAAAUAGCGUAAAAAUAUGGUAUAUCAAGGUUGUGGGCCCUAUAGAGGUCACAAUUUUUAUCCGAUUUUGUUGAAACUUGAAAUGUAUGUUUAUAUCCCAAAGAUCUCGGGUCCUUUCGAUAUUCGCGCAUAUCGGACCGUAACUUCCUGAAUUAUGGCCCCUGAUUGUACGAAAAAUUGCGUUUUUAGCUUGUGGACCCUAUUGAGGUCAUAAUUUUUAUCCGAUUUAAAAAAACGUAUUAUUAUAUCACCGUUACACCCUAAGGGCGACUGAGUUCGAAUUUCGUGAAAAUCGGCCCAAAACUGACAGACAAAAUGGCCGCCCCUCGUUCUCAAAUAGCGUAAAAAUAUGAUAUAUCAAGGUUGUGGACCCUAUAGAGGUCACAAUUUUUAUCCGAUUUUGUUGAAACUUGAAAUGUAUGUUUAUAUCCCAAAGAUCUCGGGUCCUUUCGAUAUUAGGGCAUAUCGGACCGUAACUUCCUGAAUUAUGGCCCCUGAUUGUACGAAAAGUUGCGUUUUUAGCUUGUGGACCCUAUAGAGGUCAUAAUUUUUAUCCGAUUUAAAAAAACGUAUUAUUAUAUCACCGUUACACCCUAAGGACGACUGAGUUCGAAUUUCGUGAAAAUCGGCCCAAAACUGACAGACAAAAUGGCCGUCCCUCGUUCUCAAAUAGGGUAAAAAUAUGGUAUAUCAAGGUUGUGGACCCUAUAGAGGUCAUAAUUUUUAUCCGAUGUUUUUGAAACUUGAAAUGUAAGUUUAUAACCCAAAGAUCAUGGUUCCUCUCGAUAUUCCCGCAUAUCGGACCGUAACUUCCUGAAUUAUGGCCCCCGAUUGUACGAAAAAUCGUGUUUUUAGCUUGUGGACCCUAUAGAGGUCAUAAUUUUUAUCCGAUUUAAAAAAACGUAUUAUUAUAACACCGUUACACCCUAAGGACGGUUAAGUUCGAAUUUCGUGAGAAUCGGCCCAAAACUGACAGACAAAAUGGCCGCCCUUCGUUCUCAAAUAGCGUAAAAAUAUGGUAUAUCAAGGUUUUGCAUUUUUAAAUUUACUAAACAUGUUUAAUUUUGUGCAUCUUAUUCAUAAACAAUAUAUCCAUCCCAACUAGAAGUGCACGCUAAAGUUCCCUACACAAACGAAUUUCUAAACGAGUAUGCGUUACGCCGCUGCCCUUGCGAAAUAUUUAGCAACAUAUAUAUUAAUUUCAUCCAGUUCAAUCCAACCGGGAGUCCACGUUACAGAUCCGCAGUCAAUAUGCGACAUAUUUCAAUCGAGAUUGUCUUCACAGAAUUUUAAUUAGAAUUGUCAAAAUAUAACUGUUGUUUACUAACGACAGCUGUGUCUAGAUUUUGAUUCUUUACUCGACGCACGUGAUCAAUAGGUAGUUCGGCGGUUUUUAAAAAAUCUGACUGAAAUACAAAUGAGACAGGAGCAAAAAAAAAAAAAAAAAAAAAAAAAUCAAUUACUAAUUUGCAUCAGUAUACAUUUCUAACUCUUGUCUAUUUUUGUGUGCAAUAUUUGUGAAUUUUAUUUUGUAACUUAAAAUAUUUGUGAUUAAAUGUUUCUGUUUUUAUACGCCCACAUUGAAAUGUGGUCGUAUUGUCGUCGCCCCCGUUGGUCCGUCCGUCCGUCCGUCGGUCCGUCGGUCCGGCGUCCACAAUUUAUACACAGUGUUUAAGGUCUUGAGACGAAGAAGCCUAUUGAUUUUCAGCGAUUUCCGAUAAUUACUGCCAGAGUUAUGGCCCUUGAUCACUUUGAAAAAUCUUGUGGACGCUCUAGAGGCCAAAGUUAAUAUCCAAUUGACCUUAAAUUUAUACACAGUGUUUGAGGUCAUGAGACGAAGAAGCCUAUUGAUUUUCAACGAUUUCCGAUAAUUACUGCCAGAGGUAUGGCCCUUGAUCACUUCAAAAAAUCUUGUGGACGCUCUAAAGGCCAAAGUUAAUAUCCGAUUGACUUUAAAUUUAUACACAGUGUUUAAGGUCAUGAGACGAAGAAGCCUGUUGAUUUUCAACGAUUUCCGAUAAUUACUUCCAGAGUUAUGGCCCUUGAUCACUUCAAAAAAUCUUGUGGAUGCUCUAGAGGCUAAAGUUAACAUCCGAUUGAAAUUAAAUUUAUACACAGUGUUUAAGGUCAUAAGAUGAUGAAGCCUAUUGGUUUUCAGCGAUUUCUGAUAAUUACUACCAGAGUUAUGGCCCUUGAUCACUUCAAAAAAUCUUGUGGAUGCUCUAGAAGCGAAAGUUAAUAUUCGAUUGACGUUAAAUUUAUACACAGUGUUUAAGGUCAUGAGACGAAGAAGCCUAUUGAUUUUCAGCGAUUUCCAAUAUUUGCUGCCAGAGUUAUGGCCCUUGAUCACUUUGAAAAAUCUUGUGGACGCUCUAGAGGCCAAAGUUAAUAUCCGAUUGACUUUCAAUUUAUACACAGUGUUUAAGGUCAUGAGACGAAGAAUCCUAUUGAUUUUCAGCGAUUUCCGAUAAUUACUGCCAGAGUUAUGGCCCUUGAUCACUUCAAAAAAUCUUGUGGAUGCUCUAGAGGCUAAAGUUAAUAUCCGAUUGAGUUUAAAUUUAUACACAGUGUUUGAGGUCAUGAGAUGAAGAUUCCUAUUGAUUUUCGAUAAUUACUGCCAAAGUUAUGGCCCUUGAUCACUUUGCAAAAUCUUGUGAUGCUCUAAAGGCUAAAGUUAUAAUCCGAUUGACUUCAGAUUGAUACACAGAGUUAAAGAUCUUGAGACGAACAAGUAUAUUGAUUUUCAAUGAAUUUUUAUGACUUGAACAGUUAAAUCCAUGAUAUUAAAAGCUUUGCAUACAAAAUGUUAACAUGGGACAGAACUUUAUAAAAACCAAACAAAUUCUAAUAGUUUUCUGAUAAUUACUUCGUGAGUUGUUGCUCUUAAUCAGAUUUUAGUGUAUUAUAAAUGUUUCAUUACCGAAAAAAGUAAAAAUAUGCGACAACCCUUGUUGACUGCCCGCACGAUUUAGUUGCUGUGGGCGUGUGUUUCGUUGCCUGGCAACCUAUCUUUAAAUUAGGACGGGGCUUAUACAUGAAAACGUUUAGAUAAUUCAAAUCUAGUUAUAUGACAAUGCUUAAUAAAUCGAUUUUUUAUUCUGGGGCAGCUUACUUAGACGGUCCAUGCAUAUUUUAAAAAUAAAAAAUAUGUAAAAUUGUAAUUAGCUCUGAUGCUAUGGAAACUGAAUAAUGAAUGGCUACAUAUAUUUUUGAAUAAUUUUUAAAACAAAAACUCUAUUACCAUUUACAUAAAACAUAAAUAUGUUAGUUUGUAGUAGGAAAAUACCCCAAAGAUAUGGAUUUUGCAAAUACCGUUGCUAUGGUAAUCAAAUAAUAUGGCAAAUCUUGUAAAUAGCGUUGAAAAUAUAAAUAACACAUUAUGUAUUAAUAAACUGUUAGUUUAAGGUUAUUUAAACAAUAAAUUGUUAAAAUUUGAAUUAUAUAAUGGGUCAUACUUCAAAAUUGGUUUCCAUGGCAACCUAACAUGAACUUAAAGUUGCUCAACGUCUGAAAAUGUUCUCCGUGCUGUCACAGACUAGCUGUACCAUAAAAUGCGAAAUAUAGCCUUUUUUUUGCACAUAUCAGCAGGCUUCCGCGUGAAUUUUUUUUACCAUGGGUAGUAUCUUUAAUUGAAAUAUUCUUGAAUAAGCCCAAAAAUAGAGGUGAUUGUGGUUAUGUAUAUUUCAUAAUAAUUUUUUUUAAGGGUUUUAACUGUAUAGGGAUAUAUUUAUGAUGUAUUGUCGGCGCCGUAUUUAAUUUAGUAUUGAGUUUUGCGGGCAUGCAUUAACGUAUAGUUUGGUCGUGUUAACUUUUAUUUAUUAGUUUUACAAAUCUUUAUUUCAUCGGGUAGCUGAAGAGAGGUGUGGACUGGGCCUCGGACCGUCGGGUGUGGUCCCAAGGCUCAUCGGCUCCGAUUGGAAAUUCUUUUGAGACAUAUUUCAUAUUAUAUUUCAAAAUAAAUAAAAUUCAUCUCCGUAUCCACUGGAAAAAAGUAUAAUGGCUUAAAUCCAAGGAGAAAAAUGAUAUGUGAGUGGGAUACCGGAAGGUGAAUCAAGCUAGUUUCAUUUUCUCGUCAUGUCAUGUAUUCUAAACAGCUAUGGGGGUCCAAGGAAACUAGUUGGUUCGAGGGCCCAGAGCUACCUUGUCAGCCACUGGCUCAAGAUACUUUAAGCAAGCUAAUUUUCUCGUCACGUAUAUUCUACACCAAAAUGGGUCCGAGGGCCCAUCAAAACCGGUUGGUCGGACGGAACAGAGCUACCUUGUCCACCCCUGACAGAAGAUACUUUAAAAAAGGAAUUCUUUGGGGGUUAUUUACAUUGGCUGUUCGGGGAUUUUAUUAUUUCUGUAGCGUAGCUUUAAAUCGGAUUGACAUAGAAAUUAUAUAAGUAAAUCACCUCUUCUUAUUGUAUAUAGAAUAAUUUGUGUGUGUUGUAUACUUAUUCUGUAUUUGUAUAAUGUUAUUUUUGCCAAAGGUAAUAAACAAGUAAAAUAUA